RNAcentral lists this ribosomal RNA (447 nucleotides) under uncultured bacterium. Its description in RNAcentral is "bacterial SSU rRNA". It matches the Rfam family "Bacterial small subunit ribosomal RNA", at positions 64 to 507 of the family's 1533-position model. The record is from RNAcentral.
GAGCGGUAGAGAGAAGCUUGCUUCUCUUGAGAGCGGCGGACGGGUGAGUAAUGCCUAGGAAUCUGCCUGGUAGUGGGGGAUAACGUUCGGAAACGAACGCUAAUACCGCAUACGUCCUACGGGAGAAAGCAGGGGACCUUCGGGCCUUGCGCUAUCAGAUGAGCCUAGGUCGGAUUAGCUAGUUGGUGAGGUAAUGGCUCACCAAGGCGACGAUCCGUAACUGGUCUGAGAGGAUGAUCAGUCACACUGGAACUGAGACACGGUCCAGACUCCUACGGGAGGCAGCAGUGGGGAAUAUUGGACAAUGGGCGAAAGCCUGAUCCAGCCAUGCCGCGUGUGUGAAGAAGGUCUUCGGAUUGUAAAGCACUUUAAGUUGGGAGGAAGGGUUGCUGAUUAAUACGCGGGAGUUUUGACGUUACCGACAGAAUAAGCACGGGUAACUCUGUG